This 428-nucleotide ribosomal RNA is filed under the name uncultured prokaryote. Its description in RNAcentral is "bacterial SSU rRNA". It matches the Rfam family "Bacterial small subunit ribosomal RNA", at positions 355 to 774 of the family's 1533-position model. The record is from RNAcentral.
UGAGGAAUAUUGCGCAAUGGGGGCAACCCUGACGCAGCAACGCCGCGUGAGUGAGGAAGGUUUUCGGACCGUAAAGCUCUGUCGAGCGGGAAGAAAUGCAUAGUGGCUAAUAUCCAUUAUGCUUGACGGUACCGCUAAAGGAAGCACCGGCUAACUCCGUGCCAGCAGCCGCGGUAAUACGGGGGGUGCUAGCGUUGUUCGGAAUCAUUGGGCGUAAAGAGCGUGUAGGCGGCUGGAUAAGUCAGAUGCGAAAGCCCUGGGCUUAACCUAGGAAGUGCAUUUGAAACUGUUCAGCUUGAGUAAGGGAGAGGAAAGUGGAAUUCCUGGUGUAGAGGUGAAAUUCGUAGAUAUCAGGAGGAACACCGGUGGCGAAGGCGACUUUCUGGCCCUAUACUGACGCUGAGACGCGAGAGCGUGGGUAGCAAACA